GUGCAAUCAUCACAUCAUCCCAAAUCACAAUCAAGACUAAAAACCAAAAAGAACAUAUGUACAAGCCAAAAUUAAGAGCAAAAUGUCAAAAUAUGCAUAACUACUAUAUAAUACUAAGUUAUGUACAAGCAAAAUUAAAAAGUGCAAUAAACUAAGAAAGUGCAAUAACUAAGUAAAAAGGUUUUCAAAAGAUAAAAUAUAUACAAAAUAACUAAAAAGCAUAAUAAGAAACUAAACUAAAAGUGUUCGGCAAUGAAGCUUGUCACCCAAAAUGCGCUUGCUGAAGAUGCACAACCUCCCCACACUUAAGAUGUAGCACCGUCCUCGGUGCUCACGAUCAUGCGGAGUGGAAGGAGUCGUCACUGUGUCACCUCCACCUUCAACUGGUGGGUUAGGCGAUAGAGUAGCUGCAAGAGUGAUGGUGAUGCUUUAAAGGAAAGAGC
Molecule: long non-coding RNA, 443 nt
Filed under: Arachis ipaensis
Lineage: Eukaryota; Viridiplantae; Streptophyta; Magnoliopsida; Fabales; Fabaceae
Description: long non-coding RNA (AIPA_LNC000948)
Source: RNAcentral